UUAAGCGACUAAGCGUACACGGUGGAUGCCCUGGCAGUCAGAGGCGAUGAAGGACGUGCUAAUCUGCGAUAAGCGUCGGUAAGGUGAUAUGAACCGUUAUAACCGGCGAUUUCCGAAUGGGGAAACCCAGUGUGUUUCGACACACUAUCAUUAACUGAAUCCAUAGGUUAAUGAGGCGAACCGGGGGAACUGAAACAUCUAAGUACCCCGAGGAAAAGAAAUCAACCGAGAUUCCCCCAGUAGCGGCGAGCGAACGGGGAGCAGCCCAGAGCCUGAAUCAGUGUGUGUGUUAGUGGAAGCGUCUGGAAAGGCGCGCGAUACAGGGUGACAGCCCCGUACACAAAAAUGCACAUGCUGUGAGCUCGAUGAGUAGGGCGGGACACGUGGUAUCCUGUCUGAAUAUGGGGGGACCAUCCUCCAAGGCUAAAUACUCCUGACUGACCGAUAGUGAACCAGUACCGUGAGGGAAAGGCGAAAAGAACCCCGGCGAGGGGAGUGAAAAAGAACCUGAAACCGUGUACGUACAAGCAGUGGGAGCACGCUUAGGCGUGUGACUGCGUACCUUUUGUAUAAUGGGUCAGCGACUUAUAUUCUGUAGCAAGGUUAACCGAAUAGGGGAGCCGAAGGGAAACCGAGUCUUAACUGGGCGUUAAGUUGCAGGGUAUAGACCCGAAACCCGGUGAUCUAGCCAUGGGCAGGUUGAAGGUUGGGUAACACUAACUGGAGGACCGAACCGACUAAUGUUGAAAAAUUAGCGGAUGACUUGUGGCUGGGGGUGAAAGGCCAAUCAAACCGGGAGAUAGCUGGUUCUCCCCGAAAGCUAUUUAGGUAGCGCCUCGUGAAUUCAUCUCCGGGGGUAGAGCACUGUUUCGGCAAGGGGGUCAUCCCGACUUACCAACCCGAUGCAAACUGCGAAUACCGGAGAAUGUUAUCACGGGAGACACACGGCGGGUGCUAACGUCCGUCGUGAAGAGGGAAACAACCCAGACCGCCAGCUAAGGUCCCAAAGUCAUGGUUAAGUGGGAAACGAUGUGGGAAGGCCCAGACAGCCAGGAUGUUGGCUUAGAAGCAGCCAUCAUUUAAAGAAAGCGUAAUAGCUCACUGGUCGAGUCGGCCUGCGCGGAAGAUGUAACGGGGCUAAACCAUGCACCGAAGCUGCGGCAGCGACGCUUAUGCGUUGUUGGGUAGGGGAGCGUUCUGUAAGCCUGUGAAGGUGUGCUGUGAGGCAUGCUGGAGGUAUCAGAAGUGCGAAUGCUGACAUAAGUAACGAUAAAGCGGGUGAAAAGCCCGCUCGCCGGAAGACCAAGGGUUCCUGUCCAACGUUAAUCGGGGCAGGGUGAGUCGACCCCUAAGGCGAGGCCGAAAGGCGUAGUCGAUGGGAAACAGGUUAAUAUUCCUGUACUUGGUGUUACUGCGAAGGGGGGACGGAGAAGGCUAUGUUGGCCGGGCGACGGUUGUCCCGGUUUAAGCGUGUAGGCUGGUUUUCCAGGCAAAUCCGGAAAAUCAAGGCUGAGGCGUGAUGACGAGGCACUACGGUGCUGAAGCAACAAAUGCCCUGCUUCCAGGAAAAGCCUCUAAGCAUCAGGUAACAUCAAAUCGUACCCCAAACCGACACAGGUGGUCAGGUAGAGAAUACCAAGGCGCUUGAGAGAACUCGGGUGAAGGAACUAGGCAAAAUGGUGCCGUAACUUCGGGAGAAGGCACGCUGAUAUGUAGGUGAAGUCCCUCGCGGAUGGAGCUGAAAUCAGUCGAAGAUACCAGCUGGCUGCAACUGUUUAUUAAAAACACAGCACUGUGCAAACACGAAAGUGGACGUAUACGGUGUGACGCCUGCCCGGUGCCGGAAGGUUAAUUGAUGGGGUCAGCGCAAGCGAAGCUCUUGAUCGAAGCCCCGGUAAACGGCGGCCGUAACUAUAACGGUCCUAAGGUAGCGAAAUUCCUUGUCGGGUAAGUUCCGACCUGCACGAAUGGCGUAAUGAUGGCCAGGCUGUCUCCACCCGAGACUCAGUGAAAUUGAACUCGCUGUGAAGAUGCAGUGUACCCGCGGCAAGACGGAAAGACCCCGUGAACCUUUACUAUAGCUUGACACUGAACAUUGAGCCUUGAUGUGUAGGAUAGGUGGGAGGCUUUGAAGUGUGGACGCCAGUCUGCAUGGAGCCGACCUUGAAAUACCACCCUUUAAUGUUUGAUGUUCUAACGUUGACCCGUGAUCCGGGUUGCGGACAGUGUCUGGUGGGUAGUUUGACUGGGGCGGUCUCCUCCUAAAGAGUAACGGAGGAGCACGAAGGUUGGCUAAUCCUGGUCGGACAUCAGGAGGUUAGUGCAAUGGCAUAAGCCAGCUUGACUGCGAGCGUGACGGCGCGAGCAGGUGCGAAAGCAGGUCAUAGUGAUCCGGUGGUUCUGAAUGGAAGGGCCAUCGCUCAACGGAUAAAAGGUACUCCGGGGAUAACAGGCUGAUACCGCCCAAGAGUUCAUAUCGACGGCGGUGUUUGGCACCUCGAUGUCGGCUCAUCACAUCCUGGGGCUGAAGUAGGUCCCAAGGGUAUGGCUGUUCGCCAUUUAAAGUGGUACGCGAGCUGGGUUUAGAACGUCGUGAGACAGUUCGGUCCCUAUCUGCCGUGGGCGCUGGAGAAUUGAGGGGGGCUGCUCCUAGUACGAGAGGACCGGAGUGGACGCAUCACUGGUGUUCGGGUUGUCAUGCCAAUGGCACUGCCCGGUAGCUAAAUGCGGAAGAGAUAAGUGCUGAAAGCAUCUAAGCACGAAACUUGCCCCGAGAUGAGUUCUCCCUGACUCCUUGAGAGUCCUGAAGGAACGUUGAAGACGACGACGUUGAUAGGCCGGGUGUGUAAGCGCAGCGAUGCGUUGAGCUAACCGGUACUAAUGAACCGUGAGGCUUAACCU
Molecule: ribosomal RNA, 2901 nt
Filed under: Escherichia coli
Lineage: Bacteria; Pseudomonadati; Pseudomonadota; Gammaproteobacteria; Enterobacterales; Enterobacteriaceae
Description: 23S ribosomal RNA
Rfam family: Bacterial large subunit ribosomal RNA
Source: RNAcentral